GCCGGUGGGAAACCGGCGCUGUCCCGCAACUGUGAUGCCCCGCACGCGGCGUCGGCCUCCGGCCGACGCCGAACCGCGUGGGGAUGAGCCAGG
Molecule: non-coding RNA, 93 nt
Filed under: Micromonospora sp.
Lineage: Bacteria; Bacillati; Actinomycetota; Actinomycetes; Micromonosporales; Micromonosporaceae
Source: RNAcentral